Molecule: transfer RNA, 86 nt
Filed under: Nitrospirota bacterium
Lineage: Bacteria; Pseudomonadati; Nitrospirota
Also listed under: 1 other name
Description: Nitrospirae bacterium tRNA-Gln
Rfam family: tRNA
About the family: Transfer RNA (tRNA) molecules are approximately 80 nucleotides in length. Their secondary structure includes four short double-helical elements and three loops (D, anti-codon, and T loops).
Source: RNAcentral
UGGGGGAUCGUCUAGUGGUAGGACGACAGACUCUGGAUCUGACUCUGGAUCUGUCUACCGAGGUUCGAAUCCUCGUCCCCCAGCCA